This is a long non-coding RNA of Manis pentadactyla (Chinese pangolin), 2583 nucleotides long. RefSeq lists it as uncharacterized. The record is from RefSeq and is a predicted model, not a curated record. The transcript is spliced from 8 exons. NCBI's taxonomy places the organism in Eukaryota, Metazoa, Chordata, Mammalia, Pholidota, Manidae.
CAAAUAUAGUCGAGCCUGGCUAUUUUUAGCCAGGCCUUGGGCGCGAGCUCGCCGCGUGAGGGGGCGCCGCGACCCCGCCGGGAGGGCGGAGGGGGCGGGGGCGGAGUCGCCAUCUUGGACUCGGCUCGACCCCGUCUGGUGACCGGCGACGCUGAGCCAGGCUCGGCGCAGGGGGUCGGGAGAUUUAUUCUGUAAGGCAAGUCAUGGUCUCCGAGAUGAGUCCCACAUGAGGAGAGCCCAGGGAGGCAGUGGAUUGCUUGUUGGAGUCAAGUUGACUUGGCUAGAACCGGCAGCUGUGUGAGACUGGAAAAUGGAAAUGAAACCAGAAUGUGAGCUUGUUGAAUGAAUUGGACUCCCCAGAGAUCUGGGGGAGAAGAAAACCUCCCACUCGCCUUUGACUUCUGGAUUUCUUGUUUCCCUUGUAUUUGGAUUGCACUUUGAGAAGUCCAUCUGGAAGUUCACUUUUUAUUUGUUGCAACUGCAAGUAGAGUUUAUCAUCAAAAGACAAACCCCUGAAGGAAGAAAAACAGCGGGGGCAGUGAGGAAGUUGCAGAAUCACCUCAAAAAUCCAGUGAUGGUGUUUAAGCUUUGCUUCCAACAAUAAAGACUGGGCUGUGGUGACAUGCAAACUUACAGAAGAAGGUCCUGGAGCCAUGUAAGAAUCUCCAGACAGAACCAUCCAGAUAACCUAGAAGCAGAGAAGCCUGUUUGGGCCCCAAAGGGAAGCCAUCAAGGCUGUGCAGCUGUGUCACGAGCAUCCCUGUGGAGAGGCCCGAGUAGUGGGAACCCGAGGCCUCCAGCCCAGCCAUGCGAGGUCCUGUCGCCCAGCGAAGCCUUCAACGGCCUGAGGCCUGGCCAUCUUCUCACCUGUGGUCUCCUGAGCCACUCUGAGCCGAAGCCCCCAGCUAAGCCACUCCUGGAUUCCUGGCCCUCGGAAACUGAGACGCAUGCUUGCUGCUUUAAACCUAGAGAAGGAGCAUUAUAGAGAGCCUGGCAUCCUAUGGGUAGAAGAACGAAGGCAAGUCCUUCCCGACCUAUCCACAGGGUAGAACAUCUAUGAACUAAAUCUGGCCCUGGUCUUGCUGGAGGCAGGAAGGUGCCCAGAUGACAAAUUGGAUUUCCCAGACUCCCUUCCAGAUAAAAGCAGCUUACUUCUUCUGGCCAAUGGAAUGAAGGAAUAAACUGUGGUGCUGUACUUCUGGAAAUGCUCCCUGAAAGGGGGACUGACUCAACUGAUGAGGGAACGAGGCUCCGGGGCAGCAGAGCACCAAGAUCGUCCAGCUCCUAAGUACCGGCCAGGUGUCAGAUCCCCAGACCUGUGCUUUCUGAUUCUCGUGUGCUUCACCCACACAGGAUCAGCGGUUGCGGCCAGCUGGAUUGUACAGGAGGCUGGCCAGAGCCCCACGGCGCCAUCCCCACUCCUCCAUCCCCACUCCUCCUGCAACCCUUGGUUCAAGGUUUGUAUGCAAAUACAGAGAAGGUUCAGAGGUGAGAGAGCUGGGGAAAAUAGAGUUCAAGGGCUGGUGGGGGAAGGCAGGGGGUCUCUUAAAGGUCAAAGGGCUGCCGUAAUAAGAACUUGAGAAAGAUGGUGAGAAAGAACACUGAAGUUUUCGUUUCCUAAGGGGGACAUUCCAGGGAAGGGAAAUUCUAGCCAAAGUGUUUCUGUUCCUUUGAGGUACAGCCUUAGUUCCUCUGAGAGAUCUUGGCUGGGCAGGAUGCUUGAGGCCAGAGCCAGGCUCUGUUCCCCGUCCUCACCAUCCCAAACCCCUCCUGGCAGAUAGCCAUCAUCUCUGCCCCCAAAGCCCCCCAGUCUGUUCACAGCCUGAGCUGUCCUGAGGAGCGUGGAGUUCUCUGGCUAUGCUCAGAUCCUGAGAUUACAGUUAACAGGAGGAAGAAAAUAAGAGACUUGCCUUCUCUCUCUGUCCCCAAAGGCAGCCACCAGCAGUAUUUGUUCUCAGAGAGGCCCUGGGAAGAAGGAUGGUCGCUUUCCUUUCUCCCAGAGAUAAUUGAGGAGAAGCAAGAAACUACCUGUGUUUGAAGGGAAAAUGACGACAAUUAAUCUCUAAGCACAAGGCCUUGUGUUGAAUUCUUUGGAAAGAACUUUAAGAGUUUAAUGACAAUCAAGAGAAUGAAAUUGAAUUAAGAGAAAUGGAAAUUAAAUCAGGAAAGAAGUUUUUGCAAAGGGGAUGGUAAAGGAAAUUAAAAACAGUAAUGCUGAAAAAUGUGGUGGGCAGAGCGGGGGAAGAGAGGGUUUGGUGGAAAGGGGGAAAGAGCAGGCAGAGCAAAGCAGGUUGGGAGGAGCAGAGUGCUUAAUUCUAAGGACUGUGGAAAUUGUUCCUGAGAGACCAGGUGUCUGGCUCUUCCAGUCAGGGUCUAAGAUGCCAACUCCUAAUGGGGAUAAGCUCUCCUUUAGGUAAAUAAAAGUCUCCAGUUAGAGUAAGUAUAAGAAAAUAGAAGACUGGAAGUAGGGUAACCAACUAUCCCAGUUUGCCCAGAACCAUCCCAGUUUUAGAACUCAAGUGCCAAGUCCCAGAAACCCUCUAGUCAAGGGCAAACCGGAAUGGUUGGUCACCCUAAUGUGGA